Long non-coding RNA from Mastomys coucha (southern multimammate mouse), 372 nucleotides. RefSeq lists it as uncharacterized. Lineage: Eukaryota; Metazoa; Chordata; Mammalia; Rodentia; Muridae. The record is from RefSeq and is a predicted model, not a curated record. The transcript is spliced from 2 exons.
UGGCCUUCAAGACUGAAGAUCCUGCCUGGUAUGGUGGUGUUACAUGUGUGUAAUCUCAGCAUUUUGGAUGCAGAAGCAGGGGGAUUGCUACAAGUUCAGGUCUAUCUGAAGUAUGUGGAAAGUGCUAGGUGGUGGAAGGCUUUCUCCCAGCAGCGGCGGCGGCGGCAGAGAAUUAUGACUCCAGCCAACCAGGUGAUCCAGACAGUAACCAACCAUUCAGACCUGAUAACUCACACCUGCAAUCCUAACAUUUGAGAUGACACCGGAGAGUUACUGCAAAUGGUAGGCCAGCCUGGGCUAUAGUGAGUUCUAGGCCAGCCUGGGCUACAAGGGUAAGACCCUGUCAAAAAUAAAACAAGAAUGAGAGAGCAA